UGGGGAAUUUUGGACAAUGGGGGAAACCCUGAUCCAGCCAUCCCGCGUGUGCGAUGAAGGCCUUCGGGUUGUAAAGCACUUUUGGCAGGAAAGAAACGUCGCGGGUUAAUACCCCGCGAAACUGACGGUACCUGCAGAAUAAGCACCGGCUAACUACGUGCCAGCAGCCGCGGUAAUACGUAGGGUGCAAGCGUUAAUCGGAAUUACUGGGCGUAAAGCGUGCGCAGGCGGUUCGGAAAGAAAGAUGUGAAAUCCCAGAGCUUAACUUUGGAACUGCAUUUUUAACUACCGGGCUAGAGUGUGUCAGAGGGAGGUGGAAUUCCGCGUGUAGCAGUGAAAUGCGUAGAUAUGCGGAGGAACACCGAUGGCGAAGGCAGCCUCCUGGGAUAACACUGACGCUCAUGCACGAAAGCGUGGGGAGCAAACAGGAUUAGAUACCCUGGUAGUCCACGCCCUAAACGAUGUCAACUAGUUGUUGGGGCCUUCGGGCCUUGGUAGCGCAGCUAACGCGUGAAGUUGACCGCCUGGGGAGUACGGUCGCAAGAUUAAAA
This 551-nucleotide ribosomal RNA is filed under the name uncultured bacterium. RNAcentral's name for it is "partial 16S ribosomal RNA". It matches the Rfam family "Bacterial small subunit ribosomal RNA", at positions 355 to 899 of the family's 1533-position model. The record is from RNAcentral.